UCUGAGCUCUUCGUUCAGAAUUCCCGCAGAUGGGCCCGUGGAUGGCGCCUGUGCCUGAUUCACGUAGUACAAGCAUAGCAGCAAAGUGAGAAGGACCGCACAGACAACGAAAACGCGGCUUGAACCGCGUCGAAGGAUCUUAUACAUGGUACGAAAGUUGGAUUCGCUUCGGGGCGGGUGUUCCUCGAUUUCGAUUCACCUGGUGCCGCGAUAUUGGCUCGAUCCCGUGUCGGUUAUGCUCGACAAUCGCUCCCCGACUUUGCCGCUGUCGCCUGUCGACUUCAUGAGAUACUUUGGCGCCGACACGAUCUGAAAGAAGAGAAAUCGAACGAAAUUAAUAUAUUUUGGAUAUAAAAAGUAUCGAUUACAGAUAGACGAUUUAUCGGACACGGUCGCCCCGAUAUAUUAUUGCGAGGAAUAUCGAGACUCGAAAAGCGAGAUCGAAUGGUAUCGAAUAAAAGAAGAGGACGAGUGGCACGAUAUUGAAAAGAGUGAACCGUUCACGACAAUCAGAAGCAUUUGAAAAGUUCGAAGGAUGAAAAUAAUUAUCGUUGGGGAUAGAGAAGGAUUGGAGAAGUCGUAAAAAUUUUAAGAACACGUGUAUCCACCACACUGAAAUGAGCGAGAGGAAAUGAGGACAAGGAAAGAGCGAUCCAAUUCCGAUGAGAACAAUAAAUACGACCUGGUGAACCAGAGACACGGUUUCCCAGAAACCUUCUGUCUCUCGACGUAAGGUCGGUUCGCACGCGAUAAUCGAUCGUACCUGUCACCACCGACCCUGGCUGGAGAACGAGCCGCGAUUUACACACUGAAAACUCGAAUAUCGAUUUGCCUCUCGUUUGGGUUGAUAUUGAAAUUGCAAUCGUUAGAAGAUAAAUAAAUAAAUUCGCGAUUCAAUUUCUUCUCUUAUUUUUAUACAUCUAUAAUUUUUUUUUAGUAACAAAC
Molecule: long non-coding RNA, 945 nt
Filed under: Apis florea (little honeybee)
Lineage: Eukaryota; Metazoa; Arthropoda; Insecta; Hymenoptera; Apidae
Description: uncharacterized LOC105735628, transcript variant X1
Source: RNAcentral